GCACCAGUGGCCUAAUGGAUAAGGUGCUGGCCUCUGGAGUCAGAGAUUGUGGGUUCAAGUCCCACCUGGGGCU
Non-coding RNA from Stegostoma tigrinum, 73 nucleotides. Lineage: Eukaryota; Metazoa; Chordata; Chondrichthyes; Orectolobiformes; Stegostomatidae. The record is from the annotation of a RefSeq genome assembly.